GGGCCCGCGCUGCGUCCAGCUUCCCAGCUGCGUCGAGCUCCCGGCGCCCAGGGGGAACCGCGUUGAGAACACGUCGUGUCUCGCUUCCGUGUGGGCUUCUACGAGGAUUUCCUUGCAACUAAACCCUCUCGGUGUCUGCUACCGGCAGCACCUCCGGGAAACAGAGUGGGGAACGGAGGCGCUGACAGGUCAGGUUUUCAGUGUGUGAGGUGCUCGGUGGGUGACGCGAGCAGUGACUACAGGGGUCCCCCCUUUCCGCUGCCCCCUCCGCAUCAGCUCUGCUGGCUCUGCACAGAGUCUGGGGUCUGUUUCCCCCAGGUUCUCGCAGGCUUUUCUGUAACACUGCUCCUCCCCGACCCACCCACCUCAGUCCCUCCCCCGUAGCUGUGUGGCCUUGGGCAAGUCACUGUGCCUCUCUGAUUCUCUCUGUGCUGGGCUUAUUGCCCUCUCAGCGCAAACGCCAGCUUGGCUUCCUUGGCAACCGGAUCCCAAGUGGCCCGGCAUCUGCCAGCACUCUUGGCUAGAGGUCCCAAGGAAGCAGCCUCGGGGUUGUCGCUCCACUCGUCUUGGGGGCUUCCUCCUGUGCGGAGCCCUGGUGGCGCCUUGCCAGAGCCUGCAGCCCUGCUUACGGAAUCGCCUACCUGAUCCUCCCCACCAGCUUGGCUGCUGGCCACUCCCAUCUCAGACCUGCUUCAGAGACUCGUCCUCCGGCCCUGGAGCUGCACAGCACAGCCAGGGUGCCUGGAAGCUGACCUCUGCAUCCCUGGGCAGCCCCAGCCUGUGCAUCGCAGCUGGAGAACCCAGCUCCUUGCCUUAAGGGGCACAAACUCAGGUUUAAAACUCCUACCAGACCCUCGGGUCAUGCUUCUCUGGCUGUCGUGGUGGUUUGAGGCUCGUUGCCGGGUCAACUGCUCAGGACGUCACCUGUUGGGGUGACGGCCCCCCAGCUCCUGCUUGUUGACAACAGUUAGUUUGGGACCUUCACACGUGCGAGUCAGUUCGGCUGGACCUGCCGCCCCCCCGUCACCACGGCCUGAGUGUCUGAUGCGCCUUCUGUGGCUUUUGGCGGUGAGUCUGGUGACAACCCGAUUUUACUGGAGUUCCCGUUGCAGCUCAGUGGGUUAAGAACUCAGCUAGUAUCCAUGAGGAUGUGGGUUCGAUCCGGCCUCGCUCAGUAGGUUAAGGAUCCAGUGUUGCUGUGGCUGUGGUGUAGCUCGAAGAUGUGGCUCCAAUUUGACCCCUAGACUGGGAACCUCCAUAUGCUGCAGGUGUGGUCCUAAAAAGACAAAAAAAAAAGAAUGGAAAAGAGUCAGGGCUGAAUCACACAGGGGCUUCCUGGCUUCUGCUGGUCAGAGAUGGGAUUCGAAAGGCUUUGGGCUGGAAACCCAGCAACACGAUCCCUGGAUUAAGUGUCUCAGGUUAGACUGAGGGUGUGGCCUUCCCAGCGCGGUUCUCCAUGGAUUCCGCCAGUGAGUGGAGACUCAGCCAGUGCGCAAAGGCCCAGACGCGGUAAAGCCAAAGCAUGUAGGUGAGAGUUGUUUCCUGGGUGCAGUAACUGGCACAGAAACCUGACCGAGGCUGCCGGGUUGCCCAAGGGAGCGCCGUGCAGCGGGCGCCUGUGACCGGCCCCGAGCCCUCAGCGGGGAUGAGAAGCCUUGGGGCCUUCGCGCUUCCUGGAGUCAGGGGGCGACACUCCAGAUACGGCCAGGACCGGAAAGGACAUGGGAAGAAAGAAGAAGGCUCCAGAAGGCAGAGGGAGGCCCGAGGACCCUGGACCUGGAGAGAGUUCAGGGCCUCAUUCAAGAAGCUUCUUGCGGAGUUCCGGUCAUGGCACAGUGGAAACGAAUCCGACUAGGAACCAUGAGGUUGAGGGUUGGAUCCCUCACCUUGCUCGGUGGGUGAAGGAUCCAGCGUUGCCAUGAGCUGUGGUGUAGGCCGGCAGCUGUAGCCUGGGAACCCCUAGCCUGGGAACUUCCAUAUGCUGUGCAGGUGCAGCCCUAAAAAGCAAAACAAAAGAGAAGCUUCUUUUUCUGAAGGCUGCACAAAGUGGCUUUGUGUUUGGAAGUGUCUUGAGCGCCCCAGUGGGAGCGUCUCGUGUGUCCAUGGAGGCGGGUAGGUGAGGGCUCUGGACGGAGGAGCCGCCCAGACAGUGGCCACUGCACGCCUCCCGGAGACCCCACGGUCCGAGCCGGAGCCCGGGCCCGGCUUCCCUGCUAGGUGUUUGCAGGACUGCAGAGGGCACGAGCAUCCCCUCGGGGCCCGGGUUUCCGACACUUGCUGCUAGGUUGGGUCAUGUCCAGCUGAUGCAGGUGAGACCUGGGCGCCCAUCCUCGUCCCUGAAAAGACUGUGGAGGCCGCACUGAGGCGGCGGAGCCUCGGGAUGGGAGCCGUGCGGGGCCACCAAGCAGACUGUCCUGGACCAGGACGUGACUUUGAGCAGCUCGGUUUGGUCACCGCUGCAUGUCAGUCUGUCCUGACCCACACGGGUGUGUACUAGUUGUUGUGGUUUUUUUGCACAGUCGAGGCCCUACCAACCGUGUUAUUUUUCAAUGUUAACAAUCAGCUUUAUUGAGGCAUAUUUUAUAGAUAAUAAAUCUGCAGUUUCUUUUCU
Molecule: long non-coding RNA, 2611 nt
Filed under: Sus scrofa (pig)
Lineage: Eukaryota; Metazoa; Chordata; Mammalia; Artiodactyla; Suidae
Description: lncRNA (ENSSSCG00035077555.1)
Source: RNAcentral